This 760-nucleotide long non-coding RNA is filed under the name Nicotiana benthamiana. Its description in RNAcentral is "long non-coding RNA (NBEN_LNC028434)". Lineage: Eukaryota; Viridiplantae; Streptophyta; Magnoliopsida; Solanales; Solanaceae. The record is from RNAcentral.
AAUUAUAUUAAUUAAAAAUAACAUAUGAAUACAUUCAUGGCAUAUAUCGAGACGGAGAAUACACUGAAAUACAUAAAAUACAGCAGGAUACAUUGAAAUACAAUGAAAAAAGACAGUGAAUACAAUAAAAUACAUGGAAUACAAUUAGAUACAUUGAAUUACAAUGAAAAAAAGACAAUGAAUACAAUAAAAUACAUGAAAAUAUAUUGAAAUAUAUUAACAGAAAAUCAAGUUGCUCAGCCCCCAACUCCAUCGUCUUUGUUCAAGAACAACCAAGGUUUCCGGCGAAUCCGACAUUCACUGGAAGCCGGUAAUGAAAACAAUGUCAAAGCCUUCAAUGUCAUACCUCAGAAGAUGUAGAAAUCACGGAAACUUAUAUUCUUCAAUGAAGAAUUGAUUGAUAAGCCGAAUUAACUUAUAUCCUUUAAUGACGAAUUAAUAGAAAAACAACGUCAAAGCCUGCCCUGUUAGCCAUAGCAGAAGUGGAUGGAUGAGAAAGGAUGAAUUCUUUGUAGAUUCGGAAUGAGCUUUUGAAAUAAGGUUCAAUUAAUUAGGGCACAAUAUAUAAGAAGCUGCAAUAAUACAAAAAUGAUAAUUGGUGCGGUGAAAGCAAAGAGCUAUAAGGAGUUUCAAUGGGUAGUUUUGCACCACUCUGCCAUUCUCCGCCAUCGAUGAUCACUCAAAUGAAAAUUUUCCGAAACAAUGAAGAUGAAUCAGUGAACAAUUGUGAUUAUAUUCAUGAAAAAAGACUGGCGUUGAG